This 1016-nucleotide long non-coding RNA is filed under the name Sinocyclocheilus grahami. RNAcentral's name for it is "lncRNA (ENSSGRG00000008892.1)". Lineage: Eukaryota; Metazoa; Chordata; Actinopteri; Cypriniformes; Cyprinidae. The record is from RNAcentral.
GUUUAGCUUCUGUUUCCGCACACUGCUCAAGCUACUGAACAUGUUUGUGUUGAGUGAUUAAGUGGUGUUCUGGCAGAUCUUCUCCACGCCAGCCGUUGGUGGAUCACGUGCUCUCGUUCACGGUCGCAGACAGCAGGAUCUGGCUCAGGAGAAGCGCACCGCUGUGGCGUCCUUCACUCGAGCGCUGCUCUGUGAACGGCUGGCUCUGUUGUCUCCACAGAUCAUGGAAGAAGACGCGUCUCUGGUCGAGAUCAGCCCUCGUUUCGUCUUGAAUCUCAUCAGAACAUUCCAGGGCAGCUUCGGUGGACCCACGCUGUAUGAGAGCCCUCACUCACCGGCGGAUGAUCCGACAGAAGGAGAAGCGCAGAGAGCAGCAGGAGGUGUUCUGGACUCCAGCCGAGGCCACAGACACACAGAAGCAGCUCAGACGCACGCAGAUGAAGAAGAGAACGCAGAUGGAGCGCAAAGGCCUGCCAUAAGCUGUGGUGUUCACUCAUAAAACGUCCCUGUCACCACAGGUCUGCGUCGAUAUUAUAAUGAGCUCUGAUCCCAGAUCAGAGGUUCUGCUUCCUGAACAGUGUUUCUGUUGUUGUUCAGGUCGAGGAGCUGUGUUUCUGCUUCUUUUGUAAUGCAGUGCGAUCUUAAUAAACCUUUUAUUAAUGUUCAAAGACGUGUUGAUUUUGAUUUGCUUGUUAAGGUUAGUAGAAAAUACACAGGAUUAUCAAUGACGACCGUUUCAAGUAUUAAAACUUUGACAUGUUUAAAUGUUGAUGAGUUAAAUAUGGUGCGGUUAGAUUUCUUUACGAGUAGUUGCUCUUUACUAGAACAAACAUGGCUGCAAACACAUUGACAUAAGUUCACAGAGGUUUUAUUGGGCUCUUCCUGCAGUAGUUUGGUAGUAAAGUAAAGGCUUGGCGAGGCUUUAUUUCUCAGUCAUCGUAGUGAUUUAUUUCAGGUAUAGGAGGAGUGUGUGACAUGAGCUGCACGUAGGAAAUAUGUAAUGCUUUAAUGACAUU